This 265-nucleotide ribosomal RNA is filed under the name uncultured bacterium. Its description in RNAcentral is "partial 16S ribosomal RNA". It matches the Rfam family "Bacterial small subunit ribosomal RNA", at positions 1227 to 1500 of the family's 1533-position model. The record is from RNAcentral.
ACAAUGGCAGGUACAGAGGGGUGCUACCGGGUGACCGGAUGCCGAUCUCGAAAACCUGUCCCAGUUCGGACUGGAGUCUGCAACCCGACUCCACGAAGUUGGAUUCGCUAGUAAUCGCGCAUCAGCCAUGGCGCGGUGAAUACGUUCCCGGGCCUUGUACACACCGCCCGUCAAGCCAUGGGAGCCGGGGGCGCCUGAAGUCCGGGACCGCGAGGACCGGCCUAAGGCGAAACUGGUGACUGGGGCUAAGUCGUAACAAGGUAUC